CAUGGUUUUAACGGGUAACGGGGAAUUAGGGUUCGAUUCCGGAGAGGGAGCCUGAGAAACGGCUACCACAUCCAAGGAAGGCAGCAGGCGCGCAAAUUACCCAAUCCCAACACGGGGAGGUAGUGACAAUAAAUAACAAUACAGGGCCUUUACGGGUCUUGUAAUUGGAAUGAGUACAAUUUAAAUCCCUUAACGAGGAACAAUUGGAGGGCAAGUCUGGUGCCAGCAGCCGCGGUAAUUCCAGCUCCAAUAGCGUAUAUUAAAGUUGUUGCAGUUAAAAAGCUCGUAGUUGAAUUUUAGCCUUGGCUGGGUGGUCCUGCCUUUUGGUAGGUACUGCUUUGGCUGGGGCUCACCUUCUGGUAAAGCAUCAUGUUCUUAAUUGGAUGUGGUGGGGAACCAGGACUUUUACUUUGAAAAAAUUAGAGUGUUUAAAGCAGGCAUUUGCUUGAAUACAUUAGCAUGGCAUAAUAGAAUAGGACUUUGGUUCUAUUUUGUUGGUUUCUAGGACUGAAGUAAUGAUUAAUAGGGAUAGUUGGGGGCAUUAGUAUUUAAUUGUCAGAGGUGAAAUUCUUGGAUUUAUGAAAGACUAACUUCUGCGAAAGCAUUUGCCAAGGAUGUUUUCAUUAAUCAAGAACGAAAGUUAGGGGAUCGAAGACGAUCAGAUACCGUCGUAGUCUUAACCAUAAACUAUGCCGACUAGGGAUCGGACGAUGUUAUUUUUUUGACUCGUUCGGCACCUUAUGAGAAAUCAAAGUUUUUAGGUUCCGGGGGGAGUAUGGUCGCAAGGCUGAAACUUAAAGGAAUUGACGGAAGGGCACCACCAGGAGUGGAGCCUGCG
This 838-nucleotide ribosomal RNA is filed under the name uncultured zygomycete. RNAcentral's name for it is "SSU rRNA". It matches the Rfam family "Eukaryotic small subunit ribosomal RNA", at positions 345 to 1187 of the family's 1831-position model. The record is from RNAcentral. Lineage: Eukaryota; Fungi.